RNAcentral lists this ribosomal RNA (301 nucleotides) under uncultured bacterium. RNAcentral describes it as "partial 16S ribosomal RNA". It matches the Rfam family "Bacterial small subunit ribosomal RNA", at positions 509 to 807 of the family's 1533-position model. The record is from RNAcentral.
CAGUAGCCGCGGUAAUACGAAGGGUGCAAGCGUUAAUCGGAAUUACUGGGCGUAAAGCGUGCGUAGGCGGUUUGUUAAGUCCGUUGUGAAAGCCCUGGGCUCAACCUGGGAAUUGCAGUGGAUACUGGAUCACUAGAGUGUGGUAGAGGAUAGUGGAAUUUCCGGUGUAGCAGUGAAAUGCGUAGAGAUCGGAAGGAACAUCUGUGGCGAAGGCGACUAUCUGGGCCAACACUGACACUGAGGCACGAAAGCGUGGGGAGCAAACAGGAUUAGAUACCCCAGUAGUCCCUGUCUCUUAUAC